GUAAGCUACUAAGGGCGCACGGUGGAUGCCUUGGCGUCAAAUGCCGAUGAAGGACGUGGUACACUGCGAUAAGCCUCGGGGAGUUGUGUGCGAACGCUAUAUCCGAGGAUGUCCGAAUGGGGAAACCCACCAGGGGUCAAUGCCCUGGUACUGCAAUCUGAAUCCAUAGGGUUGCAGGGGGAACGAGGUGAACUGAAACAUCUUAGUAACCUCAGGAAAAGAAAUGAUUCCCAAAGUAGUGGCGAGCGAAAUGGGAGUAGCCCAAACCGCAGCUAUAUGCUCGCGGGGUUGUAGGGCCUGGCACAUGAGAGUGACAAAUCUGUCUGGUAGCAGAAUCUUCUGGAAAGUGGAGCCAUAGAGGGUGACAGCCCCGUAGGCGAAACUGGACAGACUCUCGCUAGGUACCUGAGUACGACGGGACACGCUAACCCUGUCGGAAUCUGGGAGGUCCACCUUCCAAGGCUAAAUACAUUUGACGACCGAUAGUGAACAAGUACCGUGAGGGAAAGGUGAAAAGAUCCCCGGCUAGGGGAGUGAAAUAGAACCUGAAACCGUGUGCCUACAGACGGUCGGAGCACUAUGGGCGAUGCUUGCAUCGCUAAUGUGUGACGGCGUGCCUCUUGGAGAAUGAGCCGGCGAGUUAAUCUCAGUGGCAAGGUUAAGCUAGAUACAGGCGGAGCCGCAGCGAAAGCGAGUCUGAAUAGGGCGUUGAGUCGCUGGGAUUAGACACGAAACCAGGUGAGCUACCCAUGAGCAGGUUGAAGCGGGAGUAAUGUCUCGUGGAGGACCGAACUCACUAAUAUUGCAAAAUUAGGGGAUGACUUGUGGGUAGGGGUGAAAUGCCAAACGAACUUGGAUAUAGCUUGUUCUCUCCGAAAUAGCUUUAGGGCUAGCGUCGCGUGUUUAGUAUAGGGGGUAGAGCACUGAAUGAGCUAGGGGGCGCAAGCUUACCAACCUCAAUCAAACUCCGAAUACCUAUACUCCAAGCGCGGCAGUCGGACUGCGUGAGAUGAGUUUCGUAGUCGAAAGGGAAACAGCCCAGACCGUCAGCUAAGGUCCCCAAGUGUGUGUUAAGUGGGAAACGAUGUGAGAAUGUUUAGACAGCCAGGAGGUUGGCUUAGAAGCAGCCACCCUUUAAAGAGUGCGUAACAGCUCACUGGUCAAACGCUCUUGCGCGGAAAAUUCAACGGGGCUUAAACACACCACCGAAGCUACGGAUCCGAAAGGAUGGUAGGAGAGCGUUCUGUAGGAGAUACAAGGUAGACCGAAAGGACUGCUGCGGCCUACAGAAGUGAGAAUGCCGGCAUGAGUAGCGCAAAACAUGUGAGAACCAUGUUCCCCGUAAACCUAAGGUUUCCGACGGAAGGCCAGUCCGCGUCGGGUUAGUCGGGCCUUAGCCGAGGCCGCAAGGCGUAGGUGAUGGACAUCCGGUUAAUAUUCCGGAACCACUCAAGUGGAGCGAUGAAGGGACGCGGUGUGGUAGGUCAGCCUCUUACUGGAUUGAGGUGCCAAACGCGUAGGACGUUGAUGGGUGUAGGCAAAUCCGCACCUGGAGUCCGAAACGUGAUGGCGGUGCCUUAGAGCCACAAGUGAUUGAGCCACGCCGCCAAGAAAAGCUUCUAAGCGUCGAGAUUUGAGUGACCGUACCGCAAACCGACACUGGUAGGUGGGUAGAAUAUACCAAGGGGAGCGAGAGAACCCUCGUUAAGGAAUUAGGCAAAUUUCCCCCGUACGUUCGCAAUAAGGGGGGCCUCUGGCGGUGAGCUAUGCAAAGCUGCUGGAGGCCGCAGAGAAAUGGCUCUUCCAACUGUUUAACAAAAACACAGGUCUCUGCUAAGUCGAAAGACGAAGUAUAGGGGCUGACGCCUGCCCAGUGCUGGAAGGUUAAGGGGAGAGGUUAGGCGCAAGCCAAAGCCUUGAGCCGAAGCCCCAGUGAACGGCGGCCGUAACUAUAACGGUCCUAAGGUAGCGAAAUUCCUUGUCGGGU
This 1987-nucleotide ribosomal RNA is filed under the name activated sludge metagenome. RNAcentral describes it as "bacterial LSU rRNA". It matches the Rfam family "Bacterial large subunit ribosomal RNA", at positions 1 to 1977 of the family's 2925-position model. The record is from RNAcentral.